RNAcentral lists this ribosomal RNA (254 nucleotides) under uncultured bacterium. RNAcentral's name for it is "partial 16S ribosomal RNA". It matches the Rfam family "Bacterial small subunit ribosomal RNA", at positions 524 to 776 of the family's 1533-position model. The record is from RNAcentral.
UACGGAGGGGGCUAGCGUUGUUCGGAAUGACUGGGCGUAAAGCGCGCGUAGGCGGGUUCUCCAAGUCGGGGGUGAAAGUCCGGGGCUCAACUCCGGAUCUGCGGUGGGUACGGGCAGACUAGAGUGAUGUAGGGGAGACUGGAAUUCCUGGUGUAGCGGUGAAAUGCGCAGAUAUCAGGAGGAACACCGAUGGCGAAGGCAGGUCUCUGGGCCACUACUGACGCUGAGAAGCGAAAGCGUGGGGAGCGAACAGG